CAUGAACACAAAUCUUUUUACGUGGAAAACUCCUCCGGUGUGAAGGAUAAAAACCACGGGACCUCUCCUCCGGUCCAAGGAAAUAAAGUUCACUAUCACAAAUAUUGUCUUACAACUUACAGCAAGCUACAACCAUCAAAAUAUGUAGCUAUACCACAAACAACCACAAAUAAAUGUGUGGGAACACAAUAGAGUGAUCACAAAAUACAGCUGCUGUUCUCAAUACAUUUAAAAAUGUUCUACUCAUCCAAAAAUUAAACUGAUCAGCCAGAAUCAAGAGUUGGAUGUUAGGAACAAGCUCACCAAAAAUCAGCUCAAUCCGACAAAGGAUGACUGCCGAAAACGCUGAAGAAGAUGAAGC
RNAcentral lists this long non-coding RNA (361 nucleotides) under Jatropha curcas. RNAcentral describes it as "long non-coding RNA (JCUR_LNC002384)". Lineage: Eukaryota; Viridiplantae; Streptophyta; Magnoliopsida; Malpighiales; Euphorbiaceae. The record is from RNAcentral.